Molecule: ribosomal RNA, 119 nt
Filed under: Oncorhynchus mykiss (rainbow trout)
Lineage: Eukaryota; Metazoa; Chordata; Actinopteri; Salmoniformes; Salmonidae
Source: RNAcentral
ACUUAUGGCAACACCGGCCUGAGUACGCCUGAUCUCGUCCGAUCUCGGAAGCUAAGCAGGGUCGGGCCUGGUUAGUACUUGGAUGGGAGACAGCCUGGCAAUACCAGGUGCUGUAAGCU